GGGCACAUACACCCCAGGGGAGAGACCCGUGGAACCCAGGUAGUGCCUCAUUGAGUCUUCACCUCACCCUGUGAGGUGAUGCCACACAUGAAAUUCCCAAUUCACCCAGGAGGAAACAGUCCCAGGGAGGUGGGAGACAGGCUGAGACACCCAGAGAGCAGACAGCAAGCCAGGGUUCGAAUCCUAGGAGUGUCCAGCUCCAGAACACCUGCUCGUCCUACCACAGUGGCCCCAAGUUCUCCAGGCACAAGUCUCCUAUGGUCACUUGUUACAGUGUCCCAGGGUGGUGGUCAGUGCCCUGAUAAAACCAUGGCCUGCACCAGGAGGGACAAUGCUGACCCGAGCCACAUCUCUGAUGGCCAUUUGCUGCUGGCCUAGCAGAGCAGUACCAACCCCAUUAGAAGGCACUCAAGAGCCAGCGUUUGUUUACAGAGCUGGCGUAGUUGGGUGGUGGCUGGGAGGGUGUUCUGUGGUGGUGAGGGGGUGCAGCACAGUGAAGUGGAGGGAAUGGUAUGUGUUUGGGCCCCCCAAAAACAUAGCCAUGCUUUCUGUACAAUUUCAGAUUACUAAAGGGGAAAGGAUGUGUGUCUUAAUGCUUCUCAUGAUAUUUUUCUUUUUGCCUAACUAAGAAAUGCGUAUGGAUGCAUGUCUGUUUGCAGGGGCAGGGAGGAGGAGGGCCCUUGGAAUAGCUGCCCACAACAGCUGGAAGUCCUGUCUGGGUCCCCCAGCUGGGCUAGAGAGGGCAGUGAUCAUCUGUCCACUGGACAGGAAGGUUUGCAAAGGGCUGUUUGCUUCCUGGGUACCAAUUUUUAGCCUUCUAAAGUCCUUGUCCAGUGGACCCAGGCAGGCAGCAGUGCUGGUUUCCAGGGGAUGCUCCUUCUUGGGGGAAGGGACUCCCUCAUCCAUGCUGGCCUUUGCCUGGUGGAUCUGAGGGCAUGCAGCCCUCUGCACUGGUCACCAGAGGGCGCAGAAGAGUCAGCUGGCUGCCUUGGGUCCUCAGUGCCCUGCUUUUCCACAGGAGUGGGCAGUGUCACCUGAACCCCUGAGACUGGGACACCCAAAAUCAAUGCAGUGCUCAUGGCUCUGAUUCUCCCAUUACUUAGAAUGUCCUCCCACCUGCCCCCAGGGUGGGCAUUAGAGAGCCCAGCUAGGGGCCUACCAGGAUACUGCCUGGUGAGGACAUCCCCUUGUGCUGGCCAACCCUGGCUUGCACUGGGAGCAGCCCUGUUGCGUCCCUACGAGACUGACCUCAUUUGUCCCUCACUCUGGCUCCAGGGCCUGCUUUGUCCAUGCCAGGGCAUGUCCUGCUGCACCCCUGCCAUUAUCGGUGCGCAGGCCUGGGUCUGAGCCCAGGAGAUGUGAGUGACUUCCUGCCCUUCGCCCUUUGCGUGUGUGGCUUGGACUAGCUCCCCGUUUUCAAAGGUCCCGAUGACUCCAGCAGGUUUUCCACCCAGUGGUGGGCAGAUUGCUUUUUUUUUUUUUUUUUUUGAGAUGGAGUCUCGCUCUAUCGCCCAGGCUGGAGUGCAGUGACAUGAUCUUGGCUCACUGCAGCCUCCAUCUUCCAGAUUCAAGCUAUUCUCCUGCCUUAACCUCUUGAGUAGCUGGUAUUACAGGUGCCCACCACUACACCCAGCUAAUUAUGUUUAGUAGAGACAGGUUUUCACUAUGUUGGCCAGGCUGGUCUUGAACUCCUGACCUCAGGCACUCCGCCUGUCUUGGCCUCCCAAAGUGCUAGGAUUACAGGUGUGAGCCACUGCACCCAGCCAUCAGAUUGCUUUUCAUGUUUACUGCUCAAUGGGGUGAUGCCAUGGCCACAGCCUCAGCAAUACAGGGCAGCAGAGCAUGUGGGCUGUGUGUGUCUACACAUAUUCUUGCCCACCUGCAGCAUUUCAGGUUACCUUGUCCCAUCCCAAGCCAUACUGACCUAGAAAUGAAAACGAGGCCAAGGGAGAACUUAAGAACACAAUAGAAAAGGGGAAGGCUGGGCGCGGUGGCUCAUGCCUGUAAUCCCAGCAGUUUGGGAGGCUGAGGCGGGCAGAUCACCUGAGGUUGGG
RNA transcript from Cercocebus atys (sooty mangabey), 2054 nucleotides. RefSeq lists it as uncharacterized. The transcript has a single exon. NCBI's taxonomy places the organism in Eukaryota, Metazoa, Chordata, Mammalia, Primates, Cercopithecidae. The record is from RefSeq and is a predicted model, not a curated record.